UACGUAGGUGGCAAGCGUUGUUCGGAAUUAUUGGGCGUAAAGGGCGCGUAGGCGGUUUGUUAAGUCGGCUGUGAAAGCCCGGGGCUCAACCCCGGAGGGUCAGCCGAUACUGGCAGACUAGAGUACGGAAGAGGUAGCUGGAAUUCCCGGUGUAGCGGUGAAAUGCGUAGAUAUCGAGAGGAACACCUGCGGCGAAGGCGGGUAGCUGGGCCGACACUGACGCUGAGGCGCGAAAGCCAGGGGAGCGAACGGG
RNAcentral lists this ribosomal RNA (253 nucleotides) under uncultured bacterium. RNAcentral's name for it is "partial 16S ribosomal RNA". It matches the Rfam family "Bacterial small subunit ribosomal RNA", at positions 524 to 776 of the family's 1533-position model. The record is from RNAcentral.